GAUGAACGCUGGCGGCGUGCCUAAUACAUGCAAGUCGAGCGAACGGACGAGAAGCUUGCUUUUCUGAUGUUAGCGGCGGACGGGUGAGUAACACGUGGAUAACCUACCUAUAAGACUGGGAUAACUUCGGGAAACCGGAGCUAAUACCGGAUAAUAUUUUGAACCGCAUGGUUCAAAAGUGAAAGACGGUCUUGCUGUCACUUAUAGAUGGAUCCGCGCUGCAUUAGCUAGUCGGUAAGGUAACGGCUUACCAAGGCAACGAUGCAUAGCCGACCUGAGAGGGUGAUCGGCCACCCUGGAACUGAGACACGGACCAGACUCCUACGGGAGGGAGCAGUAGGGAAUCUUCCGCAAUGGGCGAAAGCCUGACGGAGCAACGCCGCGUGAGUGAUGAAGGUCUUCGGAUCGUAAAACUCUGUUAUUAGGGAAGAACAUAUGUGUAAGUAACUGUGCACAUCUUGACGGUACCUAAUCAGAAAGCCACGGCUAACUACGUG
Molecule: ribosomal RNA, 497 nt
Filed under: uncultured bacterium
Lineage: Bacteria
Description: partial 16S ribosomal RNA
Rfam family: Bacterial small subunit ribosomal RNA
Source: RNAcentral